RNAcentral lists this transfer RNA (83 nucleotides) under Clostridia bacterium. Its description in RNAcentral is "tRNA-Leu". It matches the Rfam family "tRNA". Rfam says of the family: Transfer RNA (tRNA) molecules are approximately 80 nucleotides in length. Their secondary structure includes four short double-helical elements and three loops (D, anti-codon, and T loops). Further hydrogen bonds mediate the characteristic L-shaped molecular structure. tRNAs have two regions of fundamental functional importance: the anti-codon, which is responsible for specific mRNA codon recognition, and the 3' end, to which the tRNAs corresponding amino acid is attached (by aminoacyl-tRNA synthetases). tRNAs cope with the degeneracy of the genetic code in two manners: having more than one tRNA (with a specific anti-codon) for a particular amino acid; and 'wobble' base-pairing, i.e. permitting non-standard base-pairing at the 3rd anti-codon position. The record is from RNAcentral. Lineage: Bacteria; Bacillati; Bacillota; Clostridia.
GCGGAUAUGGCGGAAUUGGCAGACGCGCUGGUUUCAGGUUCCAGUGGGCGACCAUGCAGGUUCAAGUCCUGUUAUCCGCACCA